GACUGAGCAAAGGCCAGGUUCCCAGAAGAAAACAGGAGCGGAGUGAGCAGCCCUCAUCCCCAGUGCGCACCUCACGGUCCGGGUGCACUGUGGGGCUGGCGAUGAGCCCUGCACUGUCGUCUGCAUUCCUGAGGGAGCUCCCGGGCUGGUUCCUGCUCUCCGGGGUCUUCCUGCCUGUGGCUUUGCUGCUGCUCCUCCUCAUUGCCUACUUCAGGAUCAAACUGAUGGAGGUCAAAGAAGAACUGUCCCAGAUUCCUGAUCACCGACACAACAGCAAGGCUGGCUCUUCCCUGUACCAGCGUAAGAAACGAACGUGACCCUUGGGGACCGAUCAAUGGAUAGAGUGCACUGAACUUCUGCUCAGAGAGUAGUGGUCAACCGCUUAGCCUGCACUGGUUCAUAAAUAAGAGCCACAGCAAGAUGCUUGUUAUGAACCAUAUCGAAAAGUGGCAACUAUUGUCCAAGACUUCUUUGAGACUCAGCUCAAAUAGCAGUUCUUCAGAGAGCCCCAAGAUUGUAAGAUUUUCUUGGAUGUGUUUUAUGGAUUGGACACAUUGUAACUUUCUAACUUUUAUAGACUAUGCCCACUCUGAAGGGCAUAUUUUAAAAAUAAAAUCCCUAAACAUCAACAUCACCUAAUCCUGUGGAAGCCCACAUUAUUUUAGAAGUAAAGAAGCUGGUAGAAAUCAAUCACACUGCAGAAGGCAAAUGGCCCGAGCAUUUCCUGUGAGAGGAUUUGACACCUCCUCCUCCUGCACUUCAACAGCUCUUGACACUUUCAUAAGCAUCAUCCUGGCCCUGCGUUUGCUUCUCUCCUUCUCCCAGUUGCUUUCACAACCACGUUACCAAAUCACUGAACGAGUGCCGUCUCUGGACACUGGGUAUGGCGCACCCACGCAUGAGGCUUUCAGCACGACUUGACUUGGAAAUUCUGGCAAUUUGGUGUUGGCAAAAGGAGAGCAGAAUGUUCACCUAACUCAUGAGAGAAUAAUUCAAGACUUUGCCUUUAAAGCCAAAACAUCAGGGAGCCAAAACAUUCCUAAAUGAGGAAGGAAUUCAACAUUUCGCUGGCAGAAUUCUCUCAGUGAGAGCCCCAAACAGCCAACAUAGAAAUCUUAAAUAUUUCAUUCAAAGUGGUAGUUAAAAUAGUGAUUACUAUUUUCCUAGUUAACAUGAACACAAGAUGCUUAACAUGUCCUAAGUGUCAGUCUGUUUAUAUUCCAAUAUUUGUAUAUGAACCUAACAGUCUAUUAGAGUGAUGAACUUUAUGAAACAUAACGAAUUUGUUCACCUGUAAGAAUGCACCAAUUUCCAUAGUGACAUACAAUCAUACAAAAGAUCGUAUGGAUAAUAAAAAAAGCAGGAAUCCACCACCAAGGCUGGAUAUUUUCUGCUUCUUCCCCCUACCCUCAAAUUCUUCAUAUGCAUCCAGGGAGCUAUUGGUUUCUCUUUGCACUUCUUGAAAAAAAUACAAAACUCACCCUCUGACUGAAGACCCUCAGUUCUGUGUUUUUGUGCAUUUGAUCACAAUGAAAAUGUGUGCUGGGGCUUUCAGACUGGGGUAAUUUAGAACAGCAGUGUUCAUGCCAUAUGGAAGAACAGUAUUCUUUCAGUUCUGGGAGGGAUCUCUUUUUAGCCUCUGGUGGAAAUCAGCUUGUGUAAAAAUGCUCUUUGGAACAGAAGGCGUGAAUGGAUGCAUCGUAUUUCCAGCUGCCAGCCAAAUCCGUGGUUCGGCCACCAGCGUUUGUUCACCUUUUGGAGAUGAGCACUUCAGAAGCCUGACUUUUGGCUUCAGUGGAUGCCAUUCCACCAUCUCAGCCUUUCCAGCCACGGUGGAAAUACAUGGGAUCUAAACAUCCAUGUUAUCGGUGAUAAGCAUAACCAGCUAGCUUAAAGUAAGACCUAUCUCUUUUGUUGCUGUUGAAUGGAACGAGAGCAGGGAAUUUCCAGUGAAAUCCUGAAUAGAGCUGGACUGUUUUUCUAUGUAGACAGGAACAGAAAUAUGUUAGUUGUCCCAUGGAGCGACCAAGUCCAAGGGUUUUGCUAUAAUCUGCUUGCAGGCACUGCUACUCAAUCUGACAGCGCUUCAGAGCACGGCCAUACGGCCGCACGGCCAUGCCUUCCUUCUUUGGUGCCCAUGGUCCAGUCAAUGAAGAACGCGGUCCGGCUUGGACUGCUUCAGAUCUUCAUCGCGGCUGCCACCUCGACCAGGCCAACAGUCUUCCUACUUUGUCUUACAUCACCCUUAACCAGGGAUCAAAUGCCCCCACAAGCCUGAAUGGCCUUUCAUUUCCUAGUCUUACUUCCCAAAGUUCCUAACCUUAUUUCUAAUGUCCUUGAACCUGAACAAAUACCCUGUGGCUUCCCCAAUGUGAGACUUUCAAUAAAACACCUUACGUUUUGUUAUGUUGUCA
This is a long non-coding RNA of Phyllostomus hastatus (greater spear-nosed bat), 2414 nucleotides long. RefSeq lists it as uncharacterized. The record is from RefSeq and is a predicted model, not a curated record. NCBI's taxonomy places the organism in Eukaryota, Metazoa, Chordata, Mammalia, Chiroptera, Phyllostomidae. The transcript is spliced from 2 exons.